AACUGAUUUAGCGUGGGCUUGGAGGAGGGCAGACACAGAGGGCUUUUUGUGUGUCCCUCGGGUGAUGUUAGCUGACUCAGAUUCUGUGGCCCCCAAGCAUCCCAUUGUUUGCAGAACCUUCUGGAAUGAAUGAGAACGGUUGGCCUCCUCCAUCUCUGUGCUGAUGGAGCCGAGAACUGCCACGUCGUGGUGUGGGGCUGGGGUAGGGCGUGGAGUGGGGCGGUGGGGGGAGUUGGCGUGGAACGGACACGCAGAUUCCGUCCAGAGGUUGAGAGGUGGGGGUGGGAUGGGUGGUGGCGACGGUUGCACAGCAGUGUGAGGGCCCUGGAUGGGCUGAGCUGCCCGCUUCCAAGUGGCUAAUGAGGAAAUGCCACCUUCUGUCUGCAGGAGGCCCAGGGAGAAGAUUGUUGAAACUCAGCUUGCAACAGUUGUAACAUUCUCACCUGGGAAGAGGGCGGCUAAAAUGCCCACCCACGUAAGGUGCCAUUUUUCUUUUUCAAAUGGUGGGCAGUGAGAAACCGGACAGGAAGAAGUCAGAGCAGUCGCCGGUUGUGUCUGGGAGAGAGUGACAUCCCCUGUUGUGGGCUUCUCCAUGUUGUACAUUCUGCUGGCAUCGGCUCAGCAUAGAUGUGCAUGGUGAGUGGACCCAUUGCUACUGAACCGUGCCUUUCAAGGUGGUUACAAUGGCUACAACACUCAGGAGCCCCUGGGAAGAGAGGGUGGGUUUGCGGGGGAGGGAAGUUGCUCCUCCUCUGUGGUCUGGGGGAGGAAGGGGAGGGGGGAGCAGAGGAGAACCCAGUCCCACUGUCCAGAACUCCCGGCGCCCGGCGGCUCAGGCAUACAAAGCUGUGGCUACCCUGGUUUCCUGUUCUCUUACUCCCAAGUGUCUAUUCAUUUGUGACAAUGUGGUAGGCAGUGUUCCAGGCAGUGAACAUACAAGGGUAAACCCACCAGACGCUGACAUCUCUGCUCCCAGGGGGGAGUAGGGUAAAGAGUCUGGUGUGACCGGCUCUUGCCCUAGCAGAAUGCAGAGUGGGGCAAGUGACUUUGACCUGGAGAGAUCCAGAGAGGGCUUCCUGGAGGAAG
This 1086-nucleotide long non-coding RNA is filed under the name Oryctolagus cuniculus (rabbit). RNAcentral's name for it is "lncRNA (ENSOCUG00000033515.1)". Lineage: Eukaryota; Metazoa; Chordata; Mammalia; Lagomorpha; Leporidae. The record is from RNAcentral.